CAGAUUUUGUUAUAUUGUUGGUUAAAGUUUUAUGUUUAUUUAUAAUGUUUUACAUUUAUCACAGAUGCCACCCCAACACCUCUUCAGAUAUUAUUCUUCCAUUCAGUUAUAUCUUAUAUCCGAUAUAUUUAUAUUCUGUUUUAGUAUCCAACAUUCCCGAUGCUUCUAUCACCCACUUCCAAAUGAAAAGUAUAUAUAUUUUUACAUUGCUUAACUUGCUUUUACCUCAUAUGGAUUCUUAGUAUCCAUCAUGCCCCACACCCCUCUGUUACUCCCGGCAGAUACACACACUAGCCACCACCCCCUUUAUUGUUUCUAUGAUUCCCUCUUACCAUUACACCUACUUUCCGCCCAUUACUGCACCAACUACAAAUUAAAAAAGAAAAAUAUAUAUUCUUUUUUUUUUACAUCUCCCACACUUACACAUAUCUUAAUGAUAGCUUGGUUAGCAUUUUGGAAUAGUCAAGCAGGCUGUCCUUACAACUCUUGUUCAUUUGUACAUUUUAUUUUUUGAUGAAAAUUUGAAAUUAGAAAAGAAUUCAUUUUUUCAAAGAUUUAGUGACAUUCUAUAUGAAUGUGUUUUAAAUGAUCAUGUAAAAUUGAAGUGUUCACUCAUCUAUUUUGUUGAUCUCAUAUAUCAUUUAUGUAAAAAGAAAUACUUGCUGUAUGAGUUCAUUGACAGAUUUGUAUUAAGGAAUUAUAUCAGUUACUCGUGUGUCAUGAUUUCUAGGUUCCACUCGAGAUAAAGUGAUUUUCUCGAAAUUAACUGUUAAAGAAUUGUUUUAUUUAUGUCCCAGUUGUUUAAGUCAGUUGGUGUUAAUAUCUCGGAAUGAAGGUAUACACUAACCACACACUAGAUUUACGUGUUCUGUUGAAAUAUUACACUAAUGUUAAGUAUGAUGAGGUGUCAGGUCUGUAUCUCCAAGGUCAAGGUCAUGUGACCUUAACCCACAGGCAAGGGCUGUCACAACCUCGGGGUCAAAUGUCACUAUUUUUUGUUAAUUUCUUAUUUUGUUAAUGGGUUCUCUUCCAGUUUGUUAUUUCCGCAAUAUUAUUGAUAUUUACUCCUGCAUUUAUUAUCCAGAUUUUAUAUUAAAACUGGGUGCAUUUAUAUUUUUUGUCCUUUGUUUUAAAGUUUGUUUUCUUUUCAUUGAGAAAGUGUAAAAAAUGUAUGUGGCUUGCACUCUUAAGCUUUCCACUAUUGCCAUUGAUCAAAAAAUAAUUUUGACUCAGUUUGAUUCUUAUUUUCCAAACUGUCAAAUGACCUCCGAUAAAACAUUAGUCCUUUGUAUUUAAGUCUUAUUAAUCUAGUCUUCAUAUGAAGUAUCUGUAUCAUGCUAGGGCUGUUUGUAUUCUGUGCUUGUAUUGUUUUAAGCAUUACAGUUUGUUGUGUUUUGUAAUUAGUGCCUUAGAAAUCACUGACUUAUCAUGGCACAUUAUUAGUCCCCUACUUAUCUUGUGUUAACUUGAAAAGUAGUAGAUAUGUUAUUUUUAGCUUCACUAUUCGGAAAAUAGGGGGGCUAUUCUACUCGCCCCGGCGUCGGCGUGAGCUUUCUUGGUUAAAGUUUUUCGGCAACCUUUGUUUUUCUGUCAUAUCUUUGUUAAUAUUGCAUAUAUCUUACUGUAACUUCACAUAAACAUUGUCCAGCAUACAAACAAAGUAUGUGCAGGGGCUGGGCCCAUUAUACAUAAGGUCAAGGUCACCAAGGUGUUAUACUUAGGUUAUUUUUAAGGUUAAAGUUUUUCGGCAACCUUCGUUUUUCUGUCAUAUCUUUAUUACUAUUGCUUAUAUCUUACUGUAACUUCACAUAAACAUUGUCCAGCAUGCCAACAAAGUAUGUGCAGGGGCUGGGCCCAUUAUACUCAAGGUCAAGGUCACAGAGUUGUUAUACAUGGAAUUAUUUUCAUGUUAAAUUUUUUCGAAAGCUUCGUUUAUAGACAUAUCUUUGGUACUUGAAAAGAUAAUGACUUGAAAUUAAAAACAUUUCUUCAUAAUCACCAUCUGCGUGUGGUUACAAUCCCCAUAACUCUUAUUGUAUUUUGACAGAAUUAUGCCCCUUUCAUACUUAAUGUUUUUUGGCAAUCUUCGCUUUCUGGAUAUAACUUUAGUACAAUAUAUGAUAAAGACUUGAAACUUAAAGUUACCUUGAUCAUCAUCAUCUUCAUGUGUGAUAACAAUCCCCAUGACUCUGAUUUGUAUUAUUGACCAAGUUAUGCCCCUUUCAUACUUAAAUUUUUUGACAAACUUCGUUUUCUGGACAUUACUUUGGUACUAUAUAAGAUAAUAACUUGAAACUCAAUUAUAUCUUUACCAUCAUCAUCUGCAUGUGUGUUAACAAUCCCAAUAACUCUAAUUUUUGUUCUUGGCAGAAUUAUGCCCCUUGGUGUAUCUUCCUUUUAAAAGUAGAGGUCUCUUAUUGAGACAUUAUAUUCAUUUUACUGUCAAAUCGCCGGAUAGUGGAGCGUGCUGUCUUACAGACAGCUCUUGUUGCAUUAACUUGGCACAAGGGUAGAUGGCAAUAAAGGGAAUGUGUACAUCCUUCUAUGUGUUCCAGCCUUCUAUUUGUUCCUUUGGCAACAAAUAGUUUGAAAAUUAGACAAAUAAUGACUAAACAGAAUCGUGCAGUAGGUUUUUUUUUUUCUGUGAAACUUAGUAUAUGAGUAGAUGACAGUAUGGAGAACAUGCAUGUUCUUUUAUUAUUUCUUUUUAGCAAUGUUUAAACAUAUUUUAUUGCAAAUGAAUCAAUACAUGUUUAUAAUACAAUUAAACACAUGGAUUAUUUUAACAUAGAUUAAUGAAAAUUGGAAAAGCAUGUUACAUAAUGUAUACAUUGAAAUCAGAAGCAAAAGGGUUGGGCUACAAGUUUUCCCAAUAUUAGCGAUGGCCCUUCCCCAAGAGUAGGUUAAGGUACCAGAUGGAUCUAGAAUUUAGUGUAAACAUAUAUUGUUAUACAGAGAAUGAUGAUACAAAAAAAAAAAAAAAAAAAAAACAAAUGUCUAGUUCAAUGGAGAAAGACAAAAAGCUGAAGAAAGAAAAAAUAACUAAUGAAGAUAGCUCUGACAAAUUGUCCAAAAAUAUGAAAAGAUGGAGCCAUUGAUAACAAAAGAUUCCCCCCCCCCCCCACCCCCCACUGAAAACUUGGUACAGAGAUAGAAGACAAUAUGGAGAACAUUCAUGUUGUCUUCAUUUUCUUUGUCUGACCAUCCAUUCAUCUUCCAGGCUGUCCAUCAGUCAUAAAAACUAUGUGGUAGAUUCUGCCAUAAAAGAAGUAUAAGACAUUUGUUCAUGAAACAUUGAACUUAGGUAGAAAGCAAAAUAUGCACACAUUUUAUUUUGUCCAUUCAUCCAUCUGUCCAUCAGUCCAUAACAAAUAUAGAUCCUGCUUUAAUUUCAAAAGCAGAUAUCCGAGAGAAACCUGGUUUAUUGAUUGGGGUUUAAUUAGUCUUCAAUAUACAAAAUUGUGAUUCAUUAGUCAGCAAAUGUGACAAAUGCACUUUCUGUGCAGGGUAAUAGUCUAGUUUUGCUGUAAUGAGUUUGUGCCAAAGGUUAAAGGAAAAAAGUUUAAGGAAGCUAAAACAACUGCUGACAUGUAGAUAUGAAAGCAUAUAUCUAGCUUUAUGCAGCGUCUUGCUGUACAUGUUCAGGUACCACUGCCCAGUUAAAUAUUUUUGAGUAAAUAUUUUACAUUACCGUUUUCCAGCUUUCGUUUUCUUUAUUUCAACAAUAACUUGGAAUUCUAUAAUUUGUAAAUCCCUAAUUGUUAAAGAUUCUGACAUGGAAGUGAAUUCCAUAAAUUAUGUCCCUCCCAUCAGUAGAUAUUAUAUGUUUGUGCCAUAGUCUGUAGCCAUUGAUAUGUUAGAAUAAUUUGUACUUUUAUCCUGGUGUAAUCCUGUCUAUAUAUUGUAUAUGAACUUCUCUUGUUUCUUGAAUACUCGAGAUCAUGUUUUUAGAAAGUAGUGUUUCCUACUGCAGAAGAGAGUUCUCUAAUAAUGUGUUGUAAAUUUUUAUCUUUUACAUGCCUGUUUUUGAAAAAUGGACUAAUUAUGGAAUGAUGCUGUCUAUCCAGUUUCCAUUUUUGGACUCUUUAAGUGAGAAAGGAUAAUAGCUACAGUUUUCUAACUUGAUAGGGUGAUCAAGAAUUACUUGAGGAGGAUCCCUACUGUUUUUUUUUGUCAAUAGGUCAAGAUCACAAUGACCAGGAGACUGUAAAUGGGUUACAGAAAAAAAGUCAUAAAGUGUAACAGCUGUGGCUUUUAAAGGUAACAUAGUGACUAAGUACCACUGGAGGAAGAUUCCUAAUGAUUUGAGGGUCAAUGGCUCACAGUUCAAGGUCACAGGGAUCUGAAAUAAGUUGUGGUAUUUUUUGUGUGUUUCAGCUUUGAUAUACUUUACAGGUUGAAUAAGCAUCACUUGAGGAGGAUGUUGAAUAGGUCAAAGGUCGAGGUCACAGUGACCUCGAGACUUAACCUGGCUUUUGAACAAUAAGUCAUCCUCCACUGCACAAAUGCUUCAAGUUUAUAUUGCCUUGUCACAUUCUGCUUGUGAAUAGGCAUAUUAUACCCAGUUUUUUAUAUGUUUGUAUGCCUUUUAUUUGUAUUUCUCCUUAUUCUUUGUGUUUGUGAAUUUUUGUAGAUGAACAAAUAUACCUAGUCCAAGGGUGGUCAAGGGUAAAGAAUUGGUGUGGGGUAGGGGGAUAUUACUUUAAUUGAAACUCCUUCAGAACAUUCCUUAUAUAAAGAUGCUCAGUGCAACAUAUUUAACUGGAAUGGGAAUUUAUAAGGUGAAUUAUUCAGCUAAUGCUUUGUUGUUUUUUAUGGCCACUCUUGUUGAUGUGCUUAUUAUUUUGUGUAACUUACUAUUGUAAUGAUUUUAUUUCCUUGUAUGUUGUUCUUGUGAAGAACUGUGUUUAUUCAGCAGAUUCCUGUGAAGUUCAUGAAGUAUAGAGAGUUGUCUUUACCUGAUAUCAAGCAGAGUAGCCGUUCUUUAUCUUAUAUCAAGUAAAAGUUUUGAAGGGCAAACCUCCAGAUGUAAAGCAAACUUUUUGAAAUUAGAAAGUGCCUUUUCAGUAAUUUUAAAAUUAUAAAUUAAGAAUGAAAUGAUUGCAGUUUUCUGUCAGUAUUUAGAUUGAAUGUCUUUUUUUUUUUGUACAUUUAGACUUGUAUAAAAGCAGAGACCUCUGCCAAAUCCAUGAAUUUCCAUUAGUGAUUGUUGGUUCCUGUCUGAAUGCUCAGAAAUAACUUUUAUAUGGCGGACAAUGAUCUUUACUGCUGAUAAAUAGAAUGCCUAAGCUAAAAUGCACUUUGCCUUCCUAUAGAAAUAUAUUAUCUGAUUUUAAUUUGUAUGUCAACAGUUUUCAUCUUUACAGUUAGAACAGUUAGAAACAUUAGUUUGAGCUAUAAUUGAAUGUUCUUUCUGAAAUUUUGGUUGCCGAUUUUGAAAGAUGUGUUUUGAAGGCUGACAAUUUUUGUGUGUAGUUUUGUGAAUGUGAAAUCUGGCCUGCAAUCUUCUGGAACAAAAGUGCAUUUGUUUCCUUGUACUAAUGUUGUUAUAUGGAAAUGAACAGUUUUUAGCUCACCUGAGCCUAAGGCUCAUGGUGAGCUUUUGUGACCAUUCAGUGUCCGUUGUGUGUCGUGGUUCUGUCAACAUUUUCUAAAAAUAUCUUCUUCUUGAAAACCACUGGGCAGAAUUACACCAAACUCCACAGGAAUGAUCCUUGGGUGGUCCCCCUUCAGAAUUGUUCAAAGAAUUGAAUUCCAUGCAGAACUCGAAAAACUUUAAAAAGCUUCUUGUCCAAAACUGCAAGGUGUGUAGCCUUGAUAUUUGGUUUGUGACAUCAUCUAAUGGUCCUCUAUAAAGUUUGUUCAAAUUAUGCCCCUGUGGUGAAAAGAGGCCCUGCCCUUGGAUCCCAAGUUUAACAUAGACUUAUAUAGGAAAAAAAAUUAAAAUCUUCUUGUCUGAAAGUCCAAGGCCUAGGUCUUUGAUAUUUGGUAUGUAGCAUUGCCUAGUUGAUCUCUAACAAGAUUGUUCAAAUUUAUGCUCUUGGGUGAAAAGAGGCCCCACCCUGGGGGUCACUUGUUAUAUGAGUUAUAUAGGAAAAAAUACUUCGAAAAUUGUGAGAUCAUAUUUCCUAGACUGUUUAAUUAUAAUUGCCUGAUGACCCCAAGCCAUUAGGGUUCACCUGACUGUGACCUUGACCUGUUGACCUACUUUCUUGAUUUUUAAGAUACAGCCUUGAAAUUUAGAUGACAUGUACAGUUUUGCACUCUGAUCUUAAAACUGACUUUCAUUGACCACGAAUGUGACCUACUUUUUAAAUAUUUUACCAUCAGUUUUCCAUUUGAAACAUGUGGCUCGUAUUACUCAGGUGAGCGAUCCUGGGUCAUCAUGACCCUCUUGUUUUGUUUACAUAGAGAACAAAUAGUAAAUGUAAAUAAUUAACAACAGUCUGUGCACAUGGAUGGGUCACACAAUUGAAAUGUUAUGUUAUUAGCUUUGUUUGGUAUCCUGCGUGUACCAGCUUUAAUAAUACUGAUUUAUGAUUCGAUAUAUGAUCUGGCAAUCUAUUUUAAUGUGUAUCUGGAGGAAUGCCCAGGUAAGACACAAAGUAGAUUUUAUCAUUUACAAUACCACUUGCUAUAUUGAAAGUUGUCAUUUCUGCAUAAAAGAAAAGUAAAUAUAUAUUUUUCAUCCUUUUUCUUCAAAAAGCAGGGCAUUAAAUAGUUGAACUUGUAAAGAAAUGUUUCAUUUUAUACAGAAAUGAUUUCUUCACAAAGAUGUGUGUAUGUGUCAUUGUUUUGUCUUAUAAAACAUGCAUAAUAUUGUUUAUAAUUGCCUAUAGGUUUGUAAUAGCAGUUGAAACUACCUGUUGGACUAUAUUGGAUAAAUCCGAGCUGCUAUUUGUCCAAAACACAGGAUGAUGCCUUAGGUUGACACAAAUUAUACAUGCUUGAUAAACAGAUUUUUAUGUACUAUCACCAUAUAUACCUGCAUAGAUAUAGAGAUUGAGAUUUCAGAAUGUGUAAAUGUAUGGGUUAAUUGGAAAAAUUACUUUUCACAGCCGCAAAUGCAAAAAGAUGCUCUCUGAAACUGUAUCAAACUGUCCUGCUAGUGGGACAUAUUUUUAUGGAUUUUAUGGUUGCAUCUAUUCAUGAGUACAGUUGAAACUUUAUAUCACAAACUCACUUAUCUCAAAAUACUGGAUAUCUCGAAGACAGUCCUGAAAACAGGUGCACAUGAUAUCAUUAUGUUAAAUUCUGGUUGUCGAAGUAAAACAUUCAAUCCCCUGAAAUCUGAGAAACCCCCAAGUUUCAGUUGUAGUUGUUUUCGCCUCAACCAUGAAAUUUCGUGCCCACAAAAUGAACAGUUCAGAAAGUUUUUUUUACUGGCAUCGAUUUAUGUUUUAACAUACCUGAUCCAUUUACAUAUGAAGAAAAUCUUUCCCAUACAUAUACAUGGGUGGAAUUUCAACCUCGUUAGUAAUCACCAUGUUUCUUUGUUAUACAAAAAAAGAAAGGAGCUGUGCUCUUGUUCUUUUAGAUGCACCAUUAUAAUGUUGUUUAGGUAUCUAAGCAAAAUUUGUUGUUGACGAGAUGUCUUAUUAUGUUAAUAAGCAUCGUCAACCUUGUUGUUUUUGUUUACAGAUGAAAGACUUGUAUAUCAAAAUAAAGUAAUAAAAAAGCAA
This is a long non-coding RNA of Mercenaria mercenaria, 7682 nucleotides long. RefSeq lists it as uncharacterized. The record is from RefSeq and is a predicted model, not a curated record. The transcript is spliced from 2 exons. NCBI's taxonomy places the organism in Eukaryota, Metazoa, Mollusca, Bivalvia, Venerida, Veneridae.